CAAUAGCGUAUAUUAAAGUUGUUGCGGUAAAAAAGCUCGUAGUUGGAUUUCUGUUGAGAGCGACCGGUCCAUACCAUGUAUGCGUAUCUGGCUUGCUCUCGGCAUCCUCUCGAUAGACGUUACUGCGCUUGAUAGCGUGGUGCGGAUCUCGGGACUUUUACUUUGAGGAAAUUAGAGUGUUCACGGCAGGCUUUCGCCAGAAUACAUUAGCAUGGAAUAAUACUAUAGGAUCUUGGUUCUAUUUUGUUGGUUUCUAGAAUUGAGAUAAUGAUUAAUAGGGACAAUUGGGGGCAUUCGUAUCAACACGUCAGAGGUGGAAUUCUUGGAUUGUGUUGCGACGAACUACUGCGAAAGCAUUUGCCAAGGAUGUUUUCAUUGA
Molecule: ribosomal RNA, 379 nt
Filed under: uncultured eukaryote
Lineage: Eukaryota
Description: partial 18S ribosomal RNA
Rfam family: Eukaryotic small subunit ribosomal RNA
Source: RNAcentral